UAUUUUCAACCCUGUCAAAGGUACAAGACACGGUGAGGGGAUACAAAGAUAAAAAUAAAUUUUGCAUUAUGCUCGCUAAACUACAUUAGGGCUCUCUGACUACUUUGCCAAUCCUUCCAUUCUCAGCGCUCUCUCUAGUCUUCAGUAUCAGGAACCUCAGUCCCAACACACAACUCCUUUCAACCAUCUAUCUGCCUUUGCCACAUGCUGUCUGUUCUACACAGAAUCCCUCUCCUUUUCUCUACCUUUCUAAACAGUCACCUCUUCAAUGAAGUUCGCCAUGAGUCAUCCAAGAAGAGCUACCUCAACACUCUGAUUCCAAAACCCAUCCUAUAAAGAUCAACAUCAUACCACAUUGACUUGUGGGGCUCAUAAACAACUGAAGAAAUACACAGACACGUACACCAGGAUUAGCCAAACUGUAGUGGGUGCUGUACUGGGAGUUCAAAGACUACGCAGCGGAGGAGAAAGGAUCUGAAGACAAGGAGAAAGAGAAGGAAGGAGUGAGAAGGAUGGAACAAGGGCAUUGCAGGAGGGUGCUCAAAUCCUCAUCACAACAAUGUUCAUUGAAGCCUUACAGUCUUCAAGGAAACCUUCAGACUUUCCUUUGUGCAAACAUCCUUCUGAGCUUGGCUCCAAUCCUCCUCCACCUCGACAUCCAGGUCUCUCCCGUGUGUAUGAUAUACAAGAGCCACAGUCUACUGCACGCUGCUCCCGUCUCUGCACCAGGGAUCCGAGCUCCCAAACUUUCGGGCUUCUGCAUAUGCUGUAGUUUCCUUGGGAGUAGCAUCCCACCCACCUUUCAUCUGCCUAAUUCCUACUCAUCCUUAAUGCUUCCCUUGGGAUUUCCCCACAGAGUGGAAUUCAGAAGGCGGCCCUGCUAUGCCAUCACCUCCUCCCGCAGCCCCCUGCAUGGUUGCUGUUGGCUUCUUUCUGUCCCCCUAGAGAGUUUCUGCCUCCUUGAAGGCGAACUCCUUGUUUAGCCCCCACCCACCUCUUCCCACUUCCCAGGCGCUGUCUGUGUCCAACCUACAGUGAAGACAUUAAUAGGCAAUUAGACUAAUAAACAAACAAAGUAUUUUAAGAAAUUAAACUUCCUGUAAUAUGGUGUCAUUUAUCUGGAAUCUGCAAGAAUAUGACUGAG
Molecule: long non-coding RNA, 1144 nt
Filed under: Cricetulus griseus (Chinese hamster)
Lineage: Eukaryota; Metazoa; Chordata; Mammalia; Rodentia; Cricetidae
Description: lncRNA (ENSCGRG00015038784.1)
Source: RNAcentral